GCCGUGAUCGUCUAGUGGUUAGGACCCCACGUUGUGAGCGUGGUAACCCUGGUUCGAAGCCUGGGUUGUAGUU
Molecule: transfer RNA, 73 nt
Filed under: Drosophila simulans
Lineage: Eukaryota; Metazoa; Arthropoda; Insecta; Diptera; Drosophilidae
Rfam family: tRNA
About the family: Transfer RNA (tRNA) molecules are approximately 80 nucleotides in length.
Source: Rfam by way of RNAcentral